GAUGAACGCUAACAGAAUGCUUAACACAUGCAAGUCAACUUGAACUUCGGUUUGGGUGGCGGACGGGUGAGUAACGCGUAAAGAACUUGCCUCACAGCUAGGGACAACAUUUGGAAACGAAUGCUAAUACCUGAUAUUAUGAUUAUAUGGCAUCGUAUAAUUAUGAAAGCUAUAUGCGCUGUGAGAGAGCUUUGCGUCCCAUUAGCUAGUUGGAGAGGUAACAGCUCACCAAGGCGAUGAUGGGUAGCCGGCCUGAGAGGGUGAUCGGCCACAAGGGGACGGAGACACGGCCCUUACUCCUACGGGAGGCAGCAGUGGGGAAUAUUGGACAAUGGACCGAGAGUCUGAUCCAGCAAUUCUGUGUGCACGAUGAAGUUUUUCGGAAUGUAAAGUGCUUUCAGUUGGGAAGAAAAAAAUGACGGUACCAACAGAAGAAGUGACGGCUAAAUACGUG
This 454-nucleotide ribosomal RNA is filed under the name uncultured bacterium. Its description in RNAcentral is "partial 16S ribosomal RNA". It matches the Rfam family "Bacterial small subunit ribosomal RNA", at positions 28 to 507 of the family's 1533-position model. The record is from RNAcentral.